Molecule: long non-coding RNA, 740 nt
Organism: Aedes albopictus (Asian tiger mosquito)
Lineage: Eukaryota; Metazoa; Arthropoda; Insecta; Diptera; Culicidae
Exons: 3
Source: RefSeq, a predicted model, not a curated record
CGAAGCUGAAAACGCGCAUAUCGGGACAUCGCUCAAACGUACGCAGACUGACGACACUGAGAGAAGCAGGACACACCAAUGCAGACGCAGCGAUUAUUAGUAUUAGGGAAAAGACAGCGCUAGUAGACCACGCAGCAGAAAAUGACCAUGUUUUCAGACUUGACGAUGUGAAGAUAUUAGAUAGGACACAAAAACCAUCAAAUCUUCCCAUCUUGGAAAGUUGUCACAUAUACAACACGCCACACACGGUAAACAAACGUACUGACACAGACAAUCUGAACGUAGUCUACGCUGGUCUACUCCACUCUAUCAUGAACGUAAAAAGAACAAAAUCAAACAACCAAAACAGACCGAAUGUAAACAUGACACAAACUGACGACACUGACACGACUGAAACCGAACACACAACGCACGAAUAGAACAAACUAAAACUGUCAUUUUGAAAGUUGUACGUAAAGGUAGUGGAUAGCGGUCCGGUUUCCGACCAACGAAAAUAUCUUUUUGAAUUUGAAGGUUUUUCGGAACAGAAAAAACGGACAAAUUCAAAAAACAACAAAUGACGGUUAAAAGUUUUAAAAAACUACCACUGGACGAAAAAGCAACAAUUUCAUUCGAUUCCCUGAGGAAGAUCCAAUAAGGAUCGAAACGUUGGAAGAAGAAAACAUUUAGUUGUUUUUGACCCCGAAAAGACUGAAACGCCAAAACUAUUCGAAAGUCUUCAAAACAGUCGUCGUCAAUAU